UGUCUAAGUAUAAGCAAUUAUACAGCGAAACUGCGAAUGGCUCAUUAUAUAAGUUAUCGUUUAUUUGAUAGUACCUUACUACUUGGAUAACCGUGGUAAUUCUAGAGCUAAUACAUGCUGAAAAUCCCGACUUCGGAAGGGAUGUAUUUAUUAGAUUAAAAACCAAUGCCCUCUGGGCUCCUUGGUGAUUCAUGAUAACUCUUCGAAUCGCAUGGCCUUGCGCCGGCGAUGGUUCAUUCAAAUUUCUUCCCUAUCAACUUUCGAUGUUUGGGUAUUGGCCAAACAUGGUCGCAACGGGUAACGGAGGGUUAGGGCUCGACCCCGGAGAAGGAGCCUGAGAAACGGCUACUACAUCCAAGGAAGGCAGCAGGCGCGCAAAUUACCCAAUCCCGAUUCGGGGAGGUAGUGACAAUAAAUACUGAUACAGGGCUCUUUUGGGUCUUGUAAUUGGAAUGAGUACAAUUUAAAUCCCUUAACGAGGAACAAUUGGAGGGCAAGUCUGGUGCCAGCAGCCGCGGUAAUUCCAGCUCCAAUAGCGUAUAUUAAAGUUGUUGUGGUUAAAAAGCUCGUAGUUGAACCUUGGGCCUGGCUGGCCGGUCCGCCUCACCGCGUGUACUGGUCCGGCCGGGCCUUUCCCUCUGUGGAACCUCAUGCCCUUCACUGGGUGUGGCGGGGAAACAGGACUUUUACUUUGAAAAAAUUAGAGUGCUCCAGGCAGGCCUAUGCUCGAAUACAUUAGCAUGGAAUAAUGAAAUAGGACGCGUGGUUCUAUUUUGUUGGUUUCUACGACCGCCGUAAUGAUUAAUAGGGACAGUCGGGGGCAUCAGUAUUCAAUUGUCAGAGGUGAAAUUCUUGGAUUUAUUGAAGACUAACUACUGCGAAAGCAUUUGCCAAGGAUGUUUUCAUUAAUCAGGAACGAAAGUUAGGGGAUCGAAGACGAUCAGAUACCGUCGUAGUCUUAACCAUAAACUAUGCCGACUAGGGAUCGGACGAUGUUAUUUUUUGACGCGUUCGGCACCUUACGAGAAAUCAAAGUGCUUGGG
RNAcentral lists this ribosomal RNA (1043 nucleotides) under Cordyceps nabanheensis. RNAcentral's name for it is "SSU rRNA". It matches the Rfam family "Eukaryotic small subunit ribosomal RNA", at positions 56 to 1111 of the family's 1831-position model. Lineage: Eukaryota; Fungi; Ascomycota; Sordariomycetes; Hypocreales; Cordycipitaceae. The record is from RNAcentral.